AGCUUUGCGCAGUGGCAGUAUCGUAGCCAAUGAGGUUUAUCCGAGGCGCGAUUAUUGCUAAUAACUGUCCCUAACUCAUAAAGUAAAAAUUCAAGUCACAGGCUGGAAAGCC
This 112-nucleotide small nuclear RNA is filed under the name Spermophilus dauricus (Daurian ground squirrel). RNAcentral describes it as "U4 spliceosomal RNA (ENSSDAG00000000978.1)". It matches the Rfam family "U4 spliceosomal RNA". Rfam says of the family: U4 small nuclear RNA (U4 snRNA) is a component of the major U2-dependent spliceosome. The structure of U4 snRNA from yeast and human has been reported. The record is from Rfam by way of RNAcentral. Lineage: Eukaryota; Metazoa; Chordata; Mammalia; Rodentia; Sciuridae.